GACAGAGGGUGCAAACGUUGUUCGGAAUUACUGGGCGUAAAGCGCGUGUAGGCGGUCGCGUAAGUCGGAUGUGAAAGCCCUCGGCUCAACCGGGGAAGUGCACCCGAAACUGCGUGACUUGAGUCUCGGAGAGGAUAGUGGAAUUCUCGGUGUAGAGGUGAAAUUCGUAGAUAUCGAGAGGAACACCGGUGGCGAAGGCGGCUAUCUGGACGAUGACUGACGCUGAGACGCGAAAGCGUGGGGAGCAAACAGG
Molecule: ribosomal RNA, 253 nt
Filed under: uncultured bacterium
Lineage: Bacteria
Description: partial 16S ribosomal RNA
Rfam family: Bacterial small subunit ribosomal RNA
Source: RNAcentral